Sus scrofa (pig) is the source of this 9782-nucleotide non-coding RNA. The record is from RefSeq and is a predicted model, not a curated record. Lineage: Eukaryota; Metazoa; Chordata; Mammalia; Artiodactyla; Suidae.
GGCUGGCAGCUACCACUCUGAUUCAACCCCUAGCCUGGGAACUUCCAUAUGCUGUGAGUGCGGCCCUAAAAAUACAAGGAAAAAAAAAUAGGAAACUGGGGACCUUGGCACAGGCUGGGGCUGGCUUCAGGGGUCACUGUCCUAGGUUGGGCCUCCCCAGGACACACAAUGGAAGAUGGGGGCCAUGUGGAGCAGUGCUGAGGGUAGGUCACAUUUCUAACUCCUAUCUCUUUGGAGUUAUGAGUUGGGCAGAUUUUAUCUUGCUUGUUUUGACCUUCCAUGAGGCAACAGCAGGAGGAGGGGGAGAGAACAGAACAACAAGUGUGCUGGUUGUUCUUUUGACCCAUUUAGCAACUUCCUGUAUUUUUUUAGCAAGGACAGGUAUAACAUCUUAUGCUCUGAGGUGCCCAGUCCCUAACGUAUGCCAUGGCCUCGAGGUCAUCUAGAAGUUGACCCUGGUUUAGCCCAGUUAAAGGCAGAUUCAUUGACUGUGGCUGUUAAAUAUGCCUCUUUGGUUGGGUCUUUCCAUUCAUCUGGCCAGUCAUUUAGCAGAUAAUUUGGGGCACCUACUUUGUGCCUCAUAUAGUGAGGGGCCUUUGGGUUCACAUCUUCUUCACACUUUGCUCCUUUCACCUUUAUCCUUCAGCAAGGACCACAUUUUACCAAUGAUGACAUGGCACCAUGGGGAGAAAACCACAGACUUAUCUGCCCUCUGAGUGAAGCGUGUGGCAAAUUCAGAUGCAUCUGCUCUGGAGUAUUUUCCUCAAGCAUUUCUGGGUGUUUUCCAAACUUAGCAAUCCCCUAAAGGAUGGAGGAGGAGGCAGGUAGGGGAGCUUUCCAGGGAGAGGAACAGCAUGGGCAAAGGCUGUGAAGGGAACCAGGACCCUCCAAAAACCCAAGGGAAGGCAGUGUGACAAGGAAGGAAAGGUGAAUUUGCAGGUUGGGCUCUUACUGGGCAAGUGGGGCCUCUCUGUGAGCCUCUUCUUCUUCUUCCUUUUUUUUUUUGGCUUUUUACGGCCGCGCCUGUGGCAUAUGGAGGUUCCCAGGCUAUAGGGGUUGUGAGCCUCUUCUUGAUCCCCUCACUUCACCUAUGACACCCCUUUCUUUUCUCAGCUCUCCUUCAAGUAUUAGGCUCUGGAAGGCCUUCCCUGAGUGCAGGGAGGUAGUCAGGCCCUCUGCUAAAUGCCCUCUUUAUCCUUCCUCUCCAGACCCUAGUGUCUCCUCUGGAGGAGCUUUGCCCUUCAGGGACUGGAGCUUGUCAGCUUUCUGUGGCCUUGAGCUGGGGUAGACCCUCUGUCCUCCUGCCCGAGGGUCAAGUCUUAGCCUGGAACUGUCCUAGAAGGUAUGGCAGGAGCUGCCAGGCAUGUGCCCAGGGUCUGCUCUGUACCUGAGGAUAAGCCCUGCUCCAGGAGCUCUGGGGGUUGCAGGGCCUCUGGCUGACAGGGGAUGUGAUAGGACUGCAGACAUGCCAUCAACCCACAACCCUGUAUCCUGGGAACAGCCUGGCCUUAUGGCUCUGUGCCCUCUUUGACCACCCAACAUUGUCAUUACCUAGAACCAUUGAACCUCUGCUCUAAAACAAUUCUAGAAUCCCCACUCUCUGAUUCCAGACUUCUUUACAGAGUUUUCAUUCACAGCUUCCAUCACCCCCGUCCUCAGCCUCAUAGAGUUCCCCAGACCCCUGCCCCAGCCCAGCUUCACCUCCCGCUCCUAAAGACCCAGACCUUCUCCUGCACACCAGACACCCUCUUCCCUGAACCUGCCAAGCCCCUGCCCCUCUGUCCUUUCCUACCCCUGACUGGGCUAGGACAGCCUAGCCCCAGUUAAGACCAAACUCCCACUGCCCUCAUCUCCCCUGGAGUGACUACAAACUCCAGGCUUCAUCACAAACGCACUGCAAGCAGCCCAGUUGUCUCCUUUUCUGCUAGAACUGGUGCAAAGCUUUCCCACCGCCCCCCACCCCAUAACCUCUCCACCACACUCCCAGCCAGCAACUGCAAUGCUGCAUCUCUAGGAAAUCAGAGGGCACCUGAUGGGGAGUCCCCGCUGUGGCCAUCAUUGGAGGGGACUAAGGGGUUGGGGGAAGCACCAGCGCUGAGCUCCGCAGGGCUGUGAAGGCCCUGCCACUUCUGGCCUGAGUGUCGUUUUGCCUGCUCUCUGCCUGCUCUGCCCUCUCUGUCUCUCUGUCUCUGUCUCUGUCUCUCCCCCAGGGAUUACUCCCCACUGAAUCUCUUCACUCCUAACUCCAUUUGGCACCUGCUUCCCAGGGAAUCUGAAUUGAUACACUACCUUCCAGGCUCACCAUCUGUGUGUUUUGCUGCUGUGGUUCCACCUGGUCCUUCCUGCACACUUUGUGAGAGGCAGCUAGCUCCUCACCCACCCAUAGCUAGGCCUUCCAGCCAGGCUGUGGACCUCUCUCUUGUUUGUCUCUCUCAGACCCCUCAGUCUCAGGAGCCAGCAUCCCCUCUUCCCAACUUUCCUCUUCUCUCUGUUGCCCUGCACUUGUCCUUGCCAGCUGGCCUUCCUUCACUCAUUAUCACCAGGGCCCUAAGUCACUAAAAUCCUCAGCUGCGUCUCUAUCUUUCCCACCCUGGCCUAUGCUAAGUACUCUCUUCUCCCUGAACCAUCCCCUCUUGUUUUCUGGGCUCCUAUCUGUUCUCUGCCUCUUCUCUCUUUCACUGUGUCUUUGUCUCCUGGCCCAUGGCUGCCCCUCCCUUUGAUGCUGGUGUCCCCAGGCCUGGGAUGUGAUCCUCUUCUCUUCUCAGCCAUCUCUCUCCCUCCAUAGAGAGAUGUUUCUCAAAUAUAGACUUGAAGAUGACUCCAAAUUCCAUUUUUCAAUCAGGACUUUUUCCUGAAAUCCAGAUUCCAAUAUUUAACUGACAAGGGGACUUUUCCAUUUGGCCCUAAUCAUAUGUACCUCAAACCCAGCAAGUCCCAGGAUGAAUUCAUAGUCAUCCAAUAAAGCCAUUCCUUUGGGGUCUUUCACGAGUACCAUCACCAUCCUUCAAGUCACCCAGACCAGAAAUGAGGCUGCCCCCUCAGUCUUCCCUUUCAGGUCACCAGGUACCACCGAUUCUACUACACCCGCUCUCCCAGUCCAUCCGCUCCUCUCCUCAGCACUGCCAUUGAACAUGGCCUUCAGCAUUUCUUAAGUGCACUGCCGAUUCCGUCACUUAACCCCAUACUCUGUAUCUCUUCAUUAUAUUUCUCAUAUUGAUCCUUCUGAAAGUCUUGUAAUUCUGGCUGGGGAAGACUUUCAUUACUCCCAUGGCCUUCCUCCCUGUUGGCAUCACUAUCAAGCUUUCUCCAUGUGCUAACUAAAAUUCCUCUGGAUCUGGCCUUGCCUUCCCCUGUGGGCUUCUCUUGAUCCUGAGCGCUAGCUGAACUGAAUCACUUAUAGCUCACAAUGCAUCCUGGAAUCUCAUACCUCAGGGCCUUUGAACCUGCCUCCUUCUUCCUAGAGCAGUCUCCCCCAUUCCUCACCUGGCUAACUCCUACCCAUCCGUCAAAGCUCAGAUCAAGGCUGUAGUCCUCGAGAGGCUUAGCAAGGGUGUUUCCUCUUCUGCUCUUCCCCAGCACCCUCUGCAGAGCUCUGCCUACAAGGGAGCUGAUUGCCCCAGUUCUGUUUCCCCUAUAAGACGAGAGCUUUUUUGAGAGUCCGGCUCAUUUCUGCAUCCCCAGCACCUAGCACAGAAUCUGUCACAUAGCACUUAAGAAAUAUUAGUAGUGAAGGACUGAGUGAGCAAACAAAUGGAGUGGGGGUGCUCAUUACAGAGAUAAUAUUUGAGACGGCCUGUUGUCUAACAUUUACCAGCACACCGCAGGGCACAGGACCUGACUCUUUGGAAGGAUUCCCAGAAGAAGGAGAGAAUUAUUGGUGGAAAGAUGCUCCUAUUGAUGUAGAGAGAAGAGCGGCUGGAAGACCUGAUGCUACGUCCCGCUGAAGCAGAACAGCAGAAGCAGCUGGGGCCCCUGCUCCCAGGAGCUGUGCCAUCAACCUUCCCACCCCCACACUCACACUGACCCUGGGAGGAGCCUCAGGAAAACCUGGGGUGGGAGCUGCGAGGAGUGAGGCAGGCUGAGGGGAGCUUCCUGGUGGUGACCGUGGGCUGCUGGAAAGACAGGGGAGCUGUGCACACAGCCUGCAUCAUCAGAGGGCUCGCAGUGAAGGAGAGCCCAGAGCAAGCAGGAGAAAUGGGAGGGGAGGAGCUAGAAAAGGCCCCAACUGGAGCGACACAACCAAAGCUCCUAUCACAGAAUCCAAGAGCUGAAAACUUUCGGAUUUGUUUUUGGCCACUUCAGGGACAGAGAAGAGAAGCUCAGAGGAAACCCAGCAUCCACAGCACCGUGGGACCUGCACUAUUGUAGAACCCCAGCACCCCUGUGACAGAGACAGUGCAAAGACUGUGGCAGAAGCCCCGCCUGGUCUCCCUCGUCUAUGAGGCCGUGAAUUCUUGCCCUUUGAGCAGAGACUGUGUGCCAGGAACUGAAGAAACAGACUCCAUUUAAAGGCCAGCAGAUUUGUAAAUUGGAGGAAAGAUGCAACCAAAAAAGGAAGACUCCAGGUAGAGAUGAUGCUACCUGCAGCUAGUGCUCCUGGAUUUGCUGUUAUCCCUAAAGUCCUGCCUGACCUGGGUGCAGUCAAGACCAGGAAUGGUAUGAAAUCAGGUGCAUGCAUGCGCACAUCUGGAUUGAGAGGGAGGCACUGUUAUCAGAUUACUCUUCUUUAUGGGGAUGAUAUAACUGAACUCUCUCCGUCAGAUUUUCACAGUGAAGCAUAUGACACAAAAAAGAAUCGGGUCAGGGCAGAGCGAACAGCAUGGCAGCCAGUGAAGAAGGGAGAUAAGUAAUUAGGUUCACAGGUAGACACAUAUCCUGAGACAUACACUCGGCUCUUUCAUUCAUUUAGUCCACCAGCAUUUCUCAAAGGAUUGCUACCUACUGCCCCCUUCCUGGGUGCUGGGGAUACAGUGUUGAGUAAGACCAAGUCCCUGCCCUGGACGGUACUUAACAUGGAGCUGGAGUGAUCAGACGUGUAAAUAAAUUAUUACAGAAUUCUUUGUCUGAGCUACCUUCAGACCAUGACAAAUACCAGCUCCCACCGAAAGUUCUAGAAUGGGCUCCCUUUUGUCCUUUAUCAAACAUAUUCUUUUUCUUCAUCUACACCCUAUUUGACUUAACUUCUCCAUAAAGAUUUUCGAGAUUUCAUAGCUUAUCAGAAGCUUUUUUUCCUUUCCAAAGCAAUUACACUCAUUUAUUCAUUCAUUCACAUGCUGCAGACCUCCUAUGUAUCUAAAUGUUCUGUUGCUUUUAUUUACCAAAUAAUGGAAGUGAUCAAGUCUUCUAUUUCAUGUUACCCCCUGGGGCUUAGAAAUAAUAAUGCACCUGCAGAUGCUAACCUAAGAGCAGAAUCUGAUCUCUUUGGUAAGUCAUGCCCCUUCCUCUGAGGAAAGCCCUAAAACGAACAUGAUACACUGGACUUCGUUGAGUAUUAGUUUUCAUUAAAAUCUGGCCCAAGAUUAUAAACAAAGGAAUAAAAAAAAGAAUUUCAUAAACAAUAUCCUAUUUUCUCUCCUACCUUUGCAUGGACACAGACCUAGCCAAUUAAAUAGCUUCAUAAAUUCUAUAGGAUAAUUGCAGACUGAGUAAAAUAGUUUCAGAUAUGAGUAUGUAUGCACUGUACAGUGUUAAAAAAGGAUAUUUAGUAUAGAGUAAGAAGAAACAAAUCAUAAGGGGUCAAAAAACAUGAUUCCCUAAAAGUGAUUAUAGAUCAUAGAUUUUGGGUUGAGAACAAAGCCUUACUGGGUUGAACAAAAAAUCCAGGUAAGACUACACAUCAUGCUUUGAGGGAAAAAAGUCCUCUCUUUCUUUUUCUAAAAUGAUCCCUUCAUAAAGAAUUGCCAAAUGCAUCAUUAUUAUUGACUUAAGGGGAACCUUGGAAGGUUUUGAAGAUUCUCACAAUGUGAUAGUAAUCUUUGUAACACACACGAAGGUAGUUAUAUGUGUUAGCUGUAUGGGAACAUGGCACCCAGUGGACAAUGAAUAAGCAGCCUUUCGUGGUGGCUAUGUUUUAAAAUAAUAAAAUCGCUUCUCUAUUAAAAGUAUCAAAUAUAUAAGUACAUAUUUAAUAUUUCCUUUCUAGAGCUCAACUUUUAAAAAAUACAAAAUAGAGGAGUUCCUGUCGUGGCUCAGUGGUUAGCAAAUCCAACUAGGAACCAUGAGGUUGCAGGUUCGAUCCCUGGCCUUGCUCAGUGGGUUAAAGAUCCGGUGUUGCCAUGAACUAUGGUGUAGGUCGCAGAUGUGGCUCGGAUCCUGCAUUGCUGUGGCUCUGGCGUAAGCCGGUGGCUACAGCUCCGAUUCGACCCCUAGCCUGGGAACUUCCAUAUGCCGCGGGAGCAGCCCAAGAAAUGGCAGAAAGAUUAAAAAAAAAAAAAAAUAGAGAUAAUUUGUACUUGCUAGCUGUCUCACCCUUUGACUAUGUUGAUGACAAAAAGUUGGAGUGCCUCCAGUGUCCCGAGUCUGGGACUGGAAACUGGUUGAAUGACCAGCAUGUCUCUUCCCCAAAUUCUUCUAAGAGGCACAGUCUGGGAGAGAUGGAUUCUAGUGCUACAAAUCAGGGUGCUCCUCCCUGCAUCACCAUAGACCAGAUUUGCACACAAAUACCUAUCCUUCCUGUAAUAGCCAGGCCAUGCCCUUAGCCCCAUGUGGCAACAAAGCAAUGCAGAUCUGUUACAACAUCCUAGAGUGAAAUCUGAAUGCGGUCAAGGGAGUUCAGAAGCCGUAACAGUGAUGCAAUGCACACCACAGCUGGGGCCCAGCACAAAGUCAGGCCCCUACCCCUUCCGAUAUAAGGCCUUGGCCAUUUGAAAAGCUAAGACCCAAAAGAAACAACUAGAGGGAACGACAGUCUAUUAGAAGAUCUUGCCAGAAGAGACCUGAAUAGAAUGGUUUUUCAUGCCGGACCAGAUGCCACUGAAAUAGUUUGACCAGAUGAAAACAACAGCUUAGAUCAGGCUGCUGAGUCCUCCCCACAGAGCACACACAAAAAUCUUUUGUCACGGGGGUCAGAAGACUCUGGCAGAGGUAAUCUCUCUAGACCAGCUGCCUAAUUCCAGCAAGGCCUGCAUAUGUACCAUUCCAGAAAAACGGGUGUCUAUAGUUAAAGGAGAUGCUAGAGCCUUCUUUUGAAAAAGAGCCCAUUUGAGCACCUGACUCUCGACCCACUGGCUACAGCAAAUAUGCAUUCACUCUGCUUCCAUUUGCUGAAAGGCUUAUUGAAAGGCAUUCAAACCAGAGGAAUUCCCAGCUAAGGAAAGGAAACAGCAGAAUUAUAAUCAAUAAAGGGCAUCUAACAACAACCAAAGACUAAAAGAUUUCCCCUAUCCCAACAAUAAUUAAUUAGAAAGUACAAUGGCAACCAAUAGCAAUUAAAAAUAUAUAAGCAUAAACUCAGGAAUACCUUUUACAAGAAAUGUACGAGAUCUCCAUGGAAACACUUUACUUAGAGAAAAGAGAUCUGAAUAAGUGGAGGCACACACCAAAUCCUGUAUGAAGAGCGCUAAUAUAUCAACAUUGAGCUUUUAAAGGUUAAUUUGUAGUGGAAUUAUUUAAUUUGGAUUUUUUGAAAAUCCCCAAAGACUUUGGGGGAUGGAGAAUUGAAGGACUGACUACAAAAUUCAUCAGGAAAAAUAAACUGGUAAAAAGAGCUAUGGACAUGGUAAAAUUUAAAAAAGGAGGAGGAGGAAAGAAUAGAGAUUUGCUUUACCAGAUCCCAAAGUACAUAAAACCCCAGUGAUUAAAAUGAUGUAUCCUGACACAGAAGAGCAGAUGGAUCAGUGGGACAGAAGAACAAGUCUAGAAUCAGACUGAGCCAUCGGCAAGAACUUAGGAUACGGCAGAGGCAGCAACUUCAAGUAGGGAGAGAAGACUGAUUCCAUAAAGGUGAAGGAUAAACCGGGCCACUAUGUGAUACAUAAGGAGCAAUCUCUUUCAUGCAUAUCCUUCACAUUCUAGAAUCUUUUCAAAAUUAAGAAAAACUCAUCUGUAGAAAACUGGGCAAAGGUUAUUUAACAGGCAGUUCACACAUAUACAUACACAAACUAUCAAAGGUAAGAAAAUUAUUACACUGUGCUAGGAAUAUCAGAAAUGCAAAUUAAAACUAGUUGUGUGGGGUUUAGUUAUCAAUUCAUCAAUGUCUUUAGUUAAAAUAUAAACUUGUGAAGGGACAGGGAAAAUAUGGCCUAUAACCUGCCUGGUCGGCAAUCCAGCAGUCAACAUCAAAAACCAUAGCAAUGUGUGUAUCAUUAAUUCCACAACUAUACAUUUACCCCAGGGAAAUAAUUAUGAUGUUGGACAGAGAUUUAUCUAGAAGGUUGUUUAAGGAAGCAUCGUUUGUAUUAGCAAAAUCCUGGGAAGAACCUAAAAUAGGGAACUAGCCAUAUGAGUUAUGGCACAGCCAGAAGAUUCAAUACUGGACAUCCCCCAACAGUAAUGUUAGAGAGAAAAGAGUUAACGAUAUUGGAAAAAUGUUCAUAAAAUAGCUUGAAAAGAGGCAAAUUAUUUACUAUAUAAUCCCAUACUGACUUUUAAAAAGCAUGUACAAAAGUUUAGGUGGACAUAGAACUUAGCAGGAAUGUUAGUUGUUUUAAGUUAUUUUCCAAAAAACAAUUAGAAAGAUACUUUCAAGGUUCCAUUGAUUUCUUUGGGCUGCCAGAAUUACAGAUGGUUUAAUUUUUCAGUGUGAUUUUCUGUAUUUCUCAAAAUUUUCUACAAAACUAGUAUUUUUAAAGGAGACACUAAAGGUGUUUCCUUAGGAGCCUAGACCCACAAAAUUAGUUAAAAUGCAGAGAAGCACAGGACAGAUGAUAGACUCAUAUCUACAGUAAGACUAAACUGAGCCUCUGCCCUGGGCUUGGUCUCUGUUGGGCUCUGGAUUCCCAGCACCCAGAAGCCAGCAUCUGUGGUGUUCCACGAAUGCUAGUCUCUCGAAUGGAAAAUACUGCUGCCGCCGCCGCCGCCACCACCAUGGCCUCCCACCUCCACCGUUCUAGAGGUCUUUUAUCUUCCCGCCAAUGCCAAGAUUAUUAAAUGGGUGUGUUGAGUAUAAUAUCCUCAUAGUGGAGCCCUAAUGAACAGCAACCAUCCAGAAUCGCUAAAAUGCCCCAGAAAAGGUUUCUGUGUGAAAAAAAGUAACACAAGUAUAAUCAAAUCUGUACUAUUAAAGGAGGUAAAAAAAAAUUCAAUUAUUAGUUCUUUUCCUAAGUUGCUUUUUUUGUGUGUUUGUGUGAGCCAUACCAAUCUUAAUGUGCUAAGGUAAAAAAAUGGCAAAAGUGGAUUAGCAUUUAGCAAAAUGGUAUUCUUUUUUUGUUUGUUUGUUUUAUUUUCUGGCUGCACCCUCUGCAUGUGGAAGUUCCUGGGCCAGGGAUCGAACCAGAGCCAUAGCAGUGACAACACUGGAACCUUUAACUGCUAGGCCACCAGGGAACUCCUAAAGCGGUGUUCUUUUAUAGGAUUCGGCUAGGAAACCAAGGGGGCUCCAAGAGGAGCUGGCCAACUGACCUCCAAACCCUAACAUGUUCAGCAUCUACACUAUAAGGGAGACGAGGUCGAUGACUUGAAUCUCCUCCCCUGAACUGCAGCAACCAACGCUUGGUUAAAUUAGGUAAAUUUGAGUCCUUACUGCCUUCUCUUCUGUUCACAUGCUCUAGAUUAGAGGAAAAAAUUACCAGGACCUUGGAAGACCAAAUUCCAAAAAAGAAAGGACCAUGAGAAAACUAACUAAC